This 313-nucleotide unclassified non-coding RNA is filed under the name uncultured fungus. Its description in RNAcentral is "partial contains small subunit ribosomal RNA, internal transcribed spacer 1, and 5.8S ribosomal RNA". The stretch from base 1 to 73 matches the Rfam family "Eukaryotic small subunit ribosomal RNA", at positions 1759 to 1831 of the family's 1831-position model. Lineage: Eukaryota; Fungi. The record is from RNAcentral.
GCAAACUUGGUCAUUUAGAGGAAGUAAAAGUCGUAACAAGGUUUCCGUAGGUGAACCUGCGGAAGGAUCAUUAACAAAAAAUAUACUUGUGUGCGGAGCAGCGGCAGCGUCACUGUUGCAGCUGGUGCCGUGCACAAUGUGUCAACCUUUGUGAAUCGGGCGGAGCGUCGUGAGGCGCCGAGCUUAGUCGGGAGACCCACUUUAUAUUAUAUUAUUAUUAAAGUCUGAAUCUUUUGUCGAAAGACUAAAGCAUCAAUGCAAUACAACUUUUAACAAUGGAUCUCUAGGCUCUUGCAUCGAUGAAGAACGCAGC